Molecule: ribosomal RNA, 540 nt
Filed under: uncultured bacterium
Lineage: Bacteria
Description: partial 16S ribosomal RNA
Rfam family: Bacterial small subunit ribosomal RNA
Source: RNAcentral
UGGGGAAUAUUGCACAAUGGGCGAAAGCCUGAUGCAGCAACGCCGCGUGAGUGAUGAAGGUCUUCGGAUUGUAAGGCUCUGUCUUUUGGGACGAUAAUGACGGUACCAAAGGAGGAAGCCACGGCUAACUACGUGCCAGCAGCCGCGGUAAUACGUAGGUGGCGAGCGUUGUCCGGAUUUACUGGGCGUAAAGGGUGCGUAGGCGGAUGUUUAAGUGAGAUGUGAAAUACCCGGGCUUAACUUGGGUGCUGCAUUUCAAACUGGAUAUCUAGAGUGCAGGAGAGGAGAAUGGAAUUCCUAGUGUAGCGGUGAAAUGCGUAGAGAUUAGGAAGAACACCAGUGGCGAAGGCGAUUCUCUGGACUGUAACUGACGCUGAGGCACGAAAGCGUGGGUAGCAAACAGGAUUAGAUACCCUGGUAGUCCACGCCGUAAACGAUGAGUACUAGGUGUAGGAGGUAUCGACCCCUUCUGUGCCGCAGUAAACACAUUAAGUACUCCGCCUGGGAAGUACGAUCGCAAGAUUAAAACUCUAAAGUGAA